AAGUCGUAACAAGGUAUCUGUAGGUGAACCUGCAGAUGGAUCAUUUCGAUGAAAAACCUUUUUUCAGAGGUGUGGCUCGCACCUGUCCAACUAAACUUGAGCUACCUUUUUCAACACGGUUGCAUCGGUCGGCCUGUCAAACAGUGCGACGCAAGGAGAAAAUCCUCGCGUCUGCUGGGCGACGGACAGACAAUUUUAUUGAACACUUUUUGAUGAUCUAGGAUUUGAAGGAGAAAAAGUCAUUUUUACAAAUGAAAUCGACUGGUAAUGCGGUCGUCUAAUUUUAAAAACAACUUUUGGCAACGGAUCUCUUGGUUCUCC
RNAcentral lists this unclassified non-coding RNA (321 nucleotides) under Ustilago hordei. Its description in RNAcentral is "partial internal transcribed spacer region". The stretch from base 1 to 46 matches the Rfam family "Eukaryotic small subunit ribosomal RNA", at positions 1786 to 1831 of the family's 1831-position model. Lineage: Eukaryota; Fungi; Basidiomycota; Ustilaginomycetes; Ustilaginales; Ustilaginaceae. The record is from RNAcentral.